AAAAAGUCAGACCAAAAUAAAAAACACAAGAUGAAUGAUUCCAUCUAUAAAAACUUCUGGAAAAUGCAAGUCAAUCAAUAGUAAUAUAAAGUGGGUCAAUGUUUGCCUGAGGACAGAAGAGAAGGGGGAGGAUUGAUUCAGGGAAGGGUUACCGACGGGUACAAUUACUUCGGGAAGUGAUGGAUAUUUUUAUUGUCUUGAUUGUGGUGAUGCUGAUUGUGGUAUAUGUCAACAUAUAUCAACUGUACAACUUAAAUAUGAGUAGUUUGUGUGUGUUCAGUCGUGUCUGCCUCUUUGCAGCUCCGUGGACUGUAGCCUGCCAGGCUCCUCUGUCUAUGGGAUUUUCCCAGCAAGAAUACUGGAGUGGAUUGCCAUUUCCUCCUCCAGAUUCUUUACCAUUGAGCCACCUUGGAACCUACGAGUCGUUUACUUGCCUCUUCUUGCAGCGGAGGGGGGUUACACCGUGUUCACUGAAGCCUGACUCAGCCAUGUGGAAGGUGAGUGGAGUGACAGGUGUCACUGUUAAGUAGAAGCUUUGAGAUUCUGUGUCUUUUUUUGUCAUCUCCCUUUUUUUCUUUGCCAUUAGACUAACAACAUCCCAGACUGAGGCUGUCCAGUCAAUCUGGGACUAAAAAAAAAAAAUACAGAGGAAAGUCAUAGCCAUGAAUGAACACGUAUGAGACCUGAGAUUUGAGGAACAUAUGUUACACAAAGUAAGCUAGUCUAAAUCAGCUAACGUACCACUUGAAGACAGCGGAGUUAACAGAGGUGAAGGAGAUGCCAGCUAUUAAGUGGCAAAGCUGAAACGAUAGUUAACUCUGUCCUAUUCUACGAAUAAAUUGUGUGAUCUUGACCUUUGUGUUGCUUUCUCUACAGUUCUGGCUCCAUGAGAUUUUCCUGUAUUCUGCGGAGACUCCUCUAAAAUAACAACAAUGAACUGAAACAGACUCACAGACUUAGAGAACAAACUUAUAGUUGCUAGGGUGAAGGGUGUGGGGGGGGGUGAAGGACAGUUAGGGAAUUUGAAAUGGAUGUGUACACACUGUUAUAUUUAAAAUGGAUAACCAACGAGGACCUAUUUUAAAGCACAGG
This 1092-nucleotide long non-coding RNA is filed under the name Ovis aries (sheep). RNAcentral describes it as "lncRNA (ENSOARG00000025739.1)". The record is from RNAcentral. Lineage: Eukaryota; Metazoa; Chordata; Mammalia; Artiodactyla; Bovidae.